GACCCGCAAGGGAGCUUGCACAGGUGCUGCAUGGCUGUCGUCAGCUCGUGCUGUGAAGUGUCGGGUUAAGUCCCUUAACGAGCGAAACCCCUAUCACUAGUUGCCAGCGAGUCAUGUCGGGGACUCUAGUGAGACUGCCGGUGUCAAACCGGAGGAAGGUGGGGAUGACGUCAAGUCCUCAUGGCCCUUAUGCCCAGGGCUGCACACGUGCUACAAUGGCGUAUACAAAGCGACGCGAGACCGCAAGGUGGAGCAAAUCGCAUAAAGUACGCCCCAGUUCGGAUUGUGGUCUGCAACUCGACCACAUGAAGUUGGAAUCGCUAGUAAUCGCGCAUCAGCUACGGCGCGGUGAAUGUGUUCCUGAGCCUU
RNAcentral lists this ribosomal RNA (369 nucleotides) under uncultured Phycisphaera sp. RNAcentral's name for it is "bacterial SSU rRNA". It matches the Rfam family "Bacterial small subunit ribosomal RNA", at positions 1014 to 1382 of the family's 1533-position model. Lineage: Bacteria; Pseudomonadati; Planctomycetota; Phycisphaerae; Phycisphaerales; Phycisphaeraceae. The record is from RNAcentral.